This 441-nucleotide ribosomal RNA is filed under the name uncultured bacterium. RNAcentral's name for it is "partial 16S ribosomal RNA". It matches the Rfam family "Bacterial small subunit ribosomal RNA", at positions 338 to 795 of the family's 1533-position model. The record is from RNAcentral.
CCUACGGGUGGCAGCAGUCGGGAAUAUUGCGCAAUGGAGGAAACUCUGACGCAGUGAAGCAGCGUAUAGGAAGAAGGUUUUCGGAGUGUAAACUAUUGUCGAUAGGGAAGAUAAAAGACUGUACCUAAGGAGGAAGCACCGGCUAACUAAGUGCCAGCAGCCGCGGUAAUACAUAGGGGGCAAGCGUUAUCCGGAAUUAUUGGGUGUAAAGGGUGCGUAGACGGAAGAACAAGUCGGUUGUGAAAUCCCUCGGCUCAACUGAGGAACUGCAACCAAAACUAGUAGUCUUGAGUGUCGGAGAGGAAAGUGGAAUUCCUAGUGUAGCGGUGAAAUGCGUAGAUAUUAGGAGGAACACCAGUUGCGAAGGCGACUCUCUGGACUAUAACUGACGUUGAGGCACGAAAGUGUGGGGAGCAAACAGGAUUAGAUACCCCUGUAGUC